Molecule: ribosomal RNA, 253 nt
Filed under: uncultured bacterium
Lineage: Bacteria
Description: partial 16S ribosomal RNA
Rfam family: Bacterial small subunit ribosomal RNA
Source: RNAcentral
UACGAAGGGGGCUAGCGUUGCUCGGAAUCACUGGGCGUAAAGGGCGCGUAGGCGGCCGUUCAAGUCGGGGGUGAAAGCCUGUGGCUCAACCACAGAAUUGCCUUCGAUACUGUACGGCUCGAGACCGGAAGAGGUGAGUGGAACUGCGAGUGUAGAGGUGAAAUUCGUAGAUAUUCGCAAGAACACCAGUGGCGAAGGCGGCUCACUGGUCCGGUUCUGACGCUGAGGCGCGAAAGCGUGGGUAGCAAACAGG